RNAcentral lists this ribosomal RNA (422 nucleotides) under uncultured Glomeraceae. RNAcentral describes it as "SSU rRNA". It matches the Rfam family "Eukaryotic small subunit ribosomal RNA", at positions 459 to 886 of the family's 1831-position model. The record is from RNAcentral. Lineage: Eukaryota; Fungi; Glomeromycota; Glomeromycetes; Glomerales; Glomeraceae.
GGGAGGUAGUGACAAUAAAUAACAAUACGGGGUUCUUUCGGAUCUCGUAAUUGGAAUGAGUACAAUUUAAAUCUCUUAACGAGGAACAAUUGGAGGGCAAGUCUGGUGCCAGCAGCCGCGGUAAUUCCAGCUCCAAUAGCGUAUAUUAAAGUUGUUGCAGUUAAAAAGCUCGUAGUUGAAUUUCGGGAUCAAUAUGCCGGUCAUGCCUUGGUAUGCACUGGUAUCUUUGAUUUCUCCCUUCUGACGAACUUUGAUGUCAUUAAUUUGGUGUCAUAGGGAAUCAGGACUGUUACUUUGAAAAAAUUAGAGUGUUUAAAGCAAGCUCACGCUUGAAUACAUUAGCAUGGAAUAAUGAAAUAGGACGUUUGAUUCUAUUUUGUUGGUUUCUAGGAUCGACGUAAUGAUUAAUAGGGAUAGUUGGG